ACUAACGUACCAGGGACCUUCUAUUGUUCUUGUCCAGAUGGAUUCUACCCAUCAACUGGAAUUGUGUGGACGUUGGGAGUUUCAUUUUGUCAAAGUCUUAAGGAGAUUCUAGAUGAGAUAAAACCCCCAGAGGGACAGACAAAAGAGAGAGCUUUUCUUGGCAACAUGGAUCAGCAACUGAAAGACAAUGAAGGCAUAAUCUUACCAGAACCG
Xiphias gladius (swordfish) is the source of this 213-nucleotide long non-coding RNA. RefSeq lists it as uncharacterized. The transcript is spliced from 3 exons. Lineage: Eukaryota; Metazoa; Chordata; Actinopteri; Istiophoriformes; Xiphiidae. The record is from RefSeq and is a predicted model, not a curated record.